Molecule: ribosomal RNA, 484 nt
Filed under: uncultured bacterium
Lineage: Bacteria
Description: partial 16S ribosomal RNA
Rfam family: Bacterial small subunit ribosomal RNA
Source: RNAcentral
GACGAACGCUGGCGGCGUGCUUAACACAUGCAAGUCGAACGAUGAACCCGGAGCUUGCUCCGGCGGAUUAGUGGCGAACGGGUGAGUAACACGUGAGUAACCUGCCCUUGACUCUGGGAUAACUGCGGGAAACUGUAGCUAAUACCGGAUACGACCCUCGGCGGCAUCGCCAGGGGGUGGAAAGAAUUUCGGUCAAGGAGGGACCCGCGGCCUAUCAGCUAGUUGGUGAGGUCACGGCUCACCAAGGCGACGACGGGUAGCCGGCCUGAGAGGGUGACCGGCCACACUGGGACUGAGACACGGCCCAGACUCCUACGGGAGGCAGCAGUGGGGAAUAUUGCACAAUGGGCGCAAGCCUGAUGCAGCAACGCCGCGUGAGGGAUGACGGCCUUCGGGUUGUAAACCUCUUUUAGUAGGGAAGAAGCGAAAGUGACGGUACCUGCAGAAAAAGCACCGGCUAACUACGUGCCAGCCGCCGCGGUAA